CGCUUUAGCUCAGUUGGUAGAGCAGCUGAUUUGUAAUCAGCCGGUCGCAGGUUCGAGUCCUGUGA
RNAcentral lists this transfer RNA (65 nucleotides) under bovine gut metagenome. The stretch from base 6 to 63 matches the Rfam family "tRNA", at positions 8 to 63 of the family's 71-position model. Rfam says of the family: Transfer RNA (tRNA) molecules are approximately 80 nucleotides in length. Their secondary structure includes four short double-helical elements and three loops (D, anti-codon, and T loops). Further hydrogen bonds mediate the characteristic L-shaped molecular structure. tRNAs have two regions of fundamental functional importance: the anti-codon, which is responsible for specific mRNA codon recognition, and the 3' end, to which the tRNAs corresponding amino acid is attached (by aminoacyl-tRNA synthetases). tRNAs cope with the degeneracy of the genetic code in two manners: having more than one tRNA (with a specific anti-codon) for a particular amino acid; and 'wobble' base-pairing, i.e. permitting non-standard base-pairing at the 3rd anti-codon position. The record is from RNAcentral.